AAGUCGUAACAAGGUUUCCGUAGGUGAACCUGCGGAAGGAUCAUUACAAAACAAAAUCCAAAUCACACCAAAUGUGCUCUAUAAAUGCAGAGAGUCUGCAGAAAUUCAUGUAUUUGUGUGUGUGGUGUGUGUGUGUGUGGGUGUAUAUGCUGUUUGUUAUGUUUGUGUUUGUGAGAGAGAAAUUAACCUUUUUCUCACACACUCACACACAUAUACAUACACAUACACACACACAUGCAUACACACACACACACACACACAAGCAUAUACAUAUUUUUCACUACAUGCUGGCUCUCUUGCAUUGUCUUUGUUUAUCAAUUUUUUCAUUAACUCCUUGUUUAACCAACAACGGAUUACAAUGUUAAAACUUGAAACAAAAAAACAAAACAAAAUGACAACUUUUAACGGUGGAUCUCUUGGCUCGU
Molecule: unclassified non-coding RNA, 425 nt
Filed under: fungal sp.
Lineage: Eukaryota; Fungi
Description: partial internal transcribed spacer region
Rfam family: Eukaryotic small subunit ribosomal RNA (bases 1-46)
Source: RNAcentral